Molecule: unclassified non-coding RNA, 331 nt
Filed under: soil metagenome
Description: partial contains 5.8S ribosomal RNA, internal transcribed spacer 2, and large subunit ribosomal RNA
Rfam family: 5.8S ribosomal RNA (bases 1-119)
Source: RNAcentral
GAUGAAGAACGCAGCAAAUGCGAUAAGUAGUGUGAAUUGCAGAAUUCAGUGAAUCAUCGAAUCUUUGAACGCACAUUGCGCCCUUUGGUAUUCCUUAGGGCAUGCCUGUUCGAGCGUCAUUUAAACCUUCAAGCUCAGCUUGGUGUUGGGUGACUGUCCGCUUCACCGCGGACUCGCCUCAAAAUUAUUGGCGGCCGGUACAUUGGCUUCGAGCGCAGCAGAAACGCGAACUCGGGCCCGUCGUAUUGGCUCCCAGAAGCUAUCUUCACAAUUUUGACCUCGGAUCAGGUAGGGAUACCCGCUGAACUUAAGCAUAUCAAUAAGCGGAGGA